UACGAAGGAUCCAAGCGUUGACCGGAUUUACUGGGUUUAAAGGGAGCGUAGGCGGACUAUUAAGUCAGUGGUGAAAGCUUGCAGCUUAACUGUAAAAUUGCCAUUGAAACUGAUAGUCUUGAAUAUGGUUGAGGUGGUUGGAAUAUAUCAUGUAGCGGUGAAAUGCUUAGAUAUGAUAUAGAACACCGAUUGCGAAGGCAGAUCACUAAACCAUUAUUGACGCUGAGGCUCGAAAGCGUGGGGAUCAAACAGG
Molecule: ribosomal RNA, 253 nt
Filed under: uncultured bacterium
Lineage: Bacteria
Description: partial 16S ribosomal RNA
Rfam family: Bacterial small subunit ribosomal RNA
Source: RNAcentral